This 492-nucleotide ribosomal RNA is filed under the name uncultured bacterium. Its description in RNAcentral is "partial 16S ribosomal RNA". It matches the Rfam family "Bacterial small subunit ribosomal RNA", at positions 29 to 507 of the family's 1533-position model. The record is from RNAcentral.
AGUGAACGCUGGCGGUAGGCCUAACACAUACAAGUCGAACGGCAGCACAGUAAGAGCUUGCUCUUACGGGUGGCGAGUGGCGGACGGGUGAGGAAUACAUCGGAAUCUACUUUUUCGUGGGGGAUAACGUAGGGAAACUUACGCUAAUACCGCAUACGACCUACGGGUGAAAGCAGGGGAUCUUCGGACCUUGCGCGAUUGAAUGAGCCGAUGUCGGAUUAGCUAGUUGGCGGGGUAAAGGCCCACCAAGGCGACGAUCCGUAGCUGGUCUGAGAGGAUGAUCAGCCACACUGGAACUGAGACACGGUCCAGACUCCUACGGGAGGCAGCAGUGGGGAAUAUUGGACAAUGGGCGCAAGCCUGAUCCAGCCAUACCGCGUGGGUGAAGAAGGCCUUCGGGUUGUAAAGUCCUUUUGUUGGGAAAGAAAAGCAGCAGGUUAAUACCCCGCUGUUCUGACGGUACCCAAAGAAUAAGCACCGGCUAACUUCGUG